UUGGCCAAGAGUAGGUUUUGGUUAGUAGACAGGGUUUGGUUAUGAAUUGGAAUUUGAAGCUGGUUUUUAAUUAGGGUUUUGAGCUGGGAAACGGUAAUGUUGGGGUUGUCGACGGAGACGCGCUCAAGGCCGUCUCGGCUACGAAUUCUAAGCAUCAUCAUGGCAGGUGAAGAUCAAAAGAUGCGAUCCGUGAAUUAGGAAAUUUUGAAGAGUUUUGAGGGAUUUAUGGAGGGAAUUGAAGAGAACUAAUGCUUGGAGUGCAGAGAACGAAAGCUUUUUGCACAGCUUGCUUAAUGUGU
Molecule: unclassified non-coding RNA, 299 nt
Filed under: Hevea brasiliensis (rubber tree)
Lineage: Eukaryota; Viridiplantae; Streptophyta; Magnoliopsida; Malpighiales; Euphorbiaceae
Source: RNAcentral